AUCCAUAAUCCAUCACUUGGUCUUGAAACCUGAUUUCUCGUCGAGUGGUGUGUGUGCAAUGAACCUGUCGACUGCACAAAGUUUUAGCUUCAAGAUUCAUCAAGGCUAUCGAGAUGAUGCAUCAUGUCAUGUUCGGCUCAACGUUGGUUGAGCUACUUACCCUUCAUCAAAACAAAUUCUGCAGGGAUCACAAUGACGUAUGAGAUAGAAUAUAUAGAUAGCCUUUGUGUAGAUCAUAGCUCUAACUAAAAGAAUCAUCAUUAUAAUUAAUACAUGUGGAGUACUACUACCCUUAUAAGUUUUCGUGAUCUCACCUGCAAAAUAAAUUAUUAUAGCAAUAGAAUCCCAUGAUUGCAAUCUAGCUAAUAACGACCUUCCUUUAACCAUGGGUUCACGGAACAUGGUUUUAGUACUGUAGUGAUUGCUCUAAAAGGACAAGUAAAUGAUCGAUCCUUUUUGUGAAAAAAAAAAAAGGGCCUUCUUGUGUGUGUGUGUGUGUGCAUCCCUUGAAACAAGCAGGCCAAAUAACAACUUAAUUCUUGCUAUGUGUAGGGGUGCUUGCUUCAACUAUGAGAGUCAUUACCAAAGCCAUCUACCCACGGGAUGCCCAUGGGCUAAGGAAAAGCGCAAUUCUGUACUUCACCGUGGGCAUUGUGAUGAUGGUGAUCAAUAUCGUCUGCUACAACAUGGCGGACAGGCUUCCUGUCGUCCGAUACUACAGACACAUCAAGCUACAGGCAAUGGAAGACAAGAGGAACGAGAGAGGCCCCGCGAGUGGGUCUGCACUGGGGUCAACCCUGUGGCACAUCACGGGGAGGAUCAAAUGGAUUGGGCUUGGAAUCUUCCUCACCUAUGCUGUGACACUAUCCAUAUUCCCGGGAUAUAUCACGGAGGAUGUUCACUCCGAGUUGCUCAAGGACUGGUAUCCCAUCAUGCUCAUCGCCGGAUACAACGUGUUUGAUCUGGUAGGGAAGUCUCUGACGGCGGUCUACCUCGUUGAGAAUGCCAACGUUGCGGUAUCUAGCUGCGUCGCAAGGCUUCUCUUCUACCCACUUUUUGUUGGUUGUUUGCGUGGCCCCAAGUUCUUCCGCACGGAAGUCCCGGUCACCGUUUUGACAUGCCUCCUGGGGCUAACCAAUGGGUAUUUGACUUCAGUGCUGAUGAUAAUGGCACCCAAGUCCGUGCCGAUACAGCAUUCAGAGACGGCAGGGAUUGUCAGUGUAUUGUUCCUAGCAAUUGGCCUGUCUUUUGGGUCAAUAGUUUCUUGGUUUUGGGUCAUUUAGGUGCAGUUUUUACUCACGUAAACAAGCUACUGCUAUAUAGUGUAUGUAACGUACCAAUGUCCGCAAGAAUGAUGCCUUUAUAUGCUUUCUUGCUUCUAUUUAACCAUGGCAAUCGACAUGCAUUUCUGCUUAUUCAAGUGUUAUGUUCUACGAUAAGAUGCAUACACAACCAUGCAACAAAAACACUGUUAUGUUCUGAGAUUGUAUAGAAAAUAAUUUCUCAAUCACAACAUUUAAGCAAUAUACAAUCCAAAAAAUCAAGCAGCGUUUCAAGAUCCCUUGAUCGAUCAUGAAAAAGCAUCAGAACGAGAAAACCGGAAGAACGAAGCAGCGAUUCAAGAUUCNNNNNNNNNNNNNNNNNNNNGAUCGAUCAUGAAGAAGCAUCAGAACGAGAAAACCGGAAGAACAAAGCAGCGGUUCAAGAUCCUUGAUCGAUCAUAAAGAAGCAUGAGAAGGAGAAAACCAGAAGAACAAAGCAACGAUUCAAGAUCCUUCGUAGCAAAAGGAUCAUAGGCAAAAAGAAGUUCUAACCAUCAAGAACAACAGCGACGGGCACGAAAACAAGCAGGGUAAGCCGUCAAGACAGAGAGAGAGAGAGAGAGAGAGAAGGGGAAUCACGGCCCACCGUUACCGGACGAAGAAGCCGAGGGCGUUCCACUUCCCUGGAGUCCCCCUCGCCUCCCUGCAUUACCGGCAUCGGCGUCGUGGAAUAAAGAUAGCGUCAUCACGGACACAACUUUAAACGCAGCUUUUUCUGUUGGGAGGGCAGUUGGAACAACACGACCAAAGACCUCUGCUUCACACGUCCUUCGCAGCAGCAGGCAGUUG
This 2111-nucleotide long non-coding RNA is filed under the name Musa acuminata (dwarf banana). RNAcentral describes it as "long non-coding RNA (MACU_LNC006243)". Lineage: Eukaryota; Viridiplantae; Streptophyta; Magnoliopsida; Zingiberales; Musaceae. The record is from RNAcentral.